UGAACCUCCACGGGGUUGCCCCCACUAGCACCUGAAGCUAGCGUGUCUACCAAUUUCACCACCUCGGCAGGUGAUUUGCAG
This 81-nucleotide transfer RNA is filed under the name Prymnesium neolepis. Lineage: Eukaryota; Haptophyta; Prymnesiales; Prymnesiaceae. The record is from RNAcentral.